This is a non-coding RNA of Paramuricea clavata, 1233 nucleotides long. The record is from the annotation of a GenBank genome assembly. Lineage: Eukaryota; Metazoa; Cnidaria; Anthozoa; Malacalcyonacea; Plexauridae.
CUAACUUUCUCCAAGUGUAGGGAUAAAAAAAUGAACAGAAAAAACGUAUAGGGAAGGCAAAAUACAUUCACCAUGAUGUUGAUUCACAGCUGAUGUAGCCAAUUUAUUGAAAAUCCAAAAUUAUCUUUUAAUCUAUAGAUUAGUCGCCACAGAUUUAUCGUCGAUUUGUUGUAUGGGUUUGCCUCGAAUAGCGAUAACACAGACAACAAUAUGCUGAAGGCGAGACGACAUUCGAGUUUCUUUGAGUAAAAUUUUUAAUGUAUAUAAAUACACGACAUAUGGAGAGAAUUUAUAAAUAAUAAAUCGAUUUUUUUAUUGAUAAGAUGAAGUGAUGCAGUAAGAGACAUCAUGUCUGCUAGCUGUUGUUCUUUUACGAUUUCUGUUUUUAAUAUUUCGAUAUUUUCCACGCGCAUAUAUACUUUAAUAAUAGAUAGAAUACUCUCUUAUGUACAUUCUGGAGCAUCUUUUCGAAUGCUCUUCAUUAAAAUACUAUUAUUUACAUUUUAUAUCAUUAUUGACUGAUGUUCCCGUAGUUGUUUUAUAAGCAUGCCUUGAUGGAAGUGUAUUCAAGAGACCAUAUAGUUCGAAUAAAUUACAAAAAUGAGAUAGUUUAGUAGGAGAGCGAAGCUUAUAGGUCUCGCUUACAUGAGAAGAAAUGAAAACGUAGGACGAUUUCGUUCAUAAAGUGCUGUUAUAUUAGUGGCCACCACUCUCUAAUUAACUUUGAACUGCUUCCAAUUUUGAGUUGAUGAGAGGUUUCGCUACGUGCACGGUAAUAACCAGUCGACUCUCAUGCAACUCUCUCGCAACUCUGAUCUCGUUUGACCAGAGCACGAGAGCUGAGAAAACUCUCAUGCAAACUUUCGCUUCUCAACUCUCAUCAACUCUCAUGCAACUCUUGUUCUCGUUAGACCGGGACACGAGAGUUGAGAAAACUCUCAUGCAAACUCUCGCUUCUCAAGUCUCAUCAACUUUCAUGCAACUCUUGUUCUCGUUUGACCAGGGCAUGAAAGUUGAGAAAACUCUCAUGCAAACUCUCGUUUCUCAACUCUCAUCAACUCUCAUGCAACUCUUGUUCUCGUUUGACCGGGGCAUGAGAGUUGAGAAAACUCUCAUGCAAACUCUCGCUUCUCAACUCUCAUGCAACUCUUGUUCUCGUUUGACCGGGGUAUGACAGUUGAGAAAACUCUCAUGCAAACUCUCGCUUCUCAUCAUUUGAUCAGGGGCCAGUUG